Long non-coding RNA from Octopus sinensis (East Asian common octopus), 425 nucleotides. RefSeq lists it as uncharacterized. The record is from RefSeq and is a predicted model, not a curated record. NCBI's taxonomy places the organism in Eukaryota, Metazoa, Mollusca, Cephalopoda, Octopoda, Octopodidae. The transcript is spliced from 3 exons.
AAACAAGUGGUAGUCGGAUGGCGCAAUAUCAGGAGAAUAUGGUGGAUGGUAUAAGAGAUCCCAGCCAAGUUCAUGUAACUUUGUUUGGGUAGCCAAAGACACGUUGUCGGGCAUUGUCUUGUUGGAACACUACCACUUUCCUAUUGACAAUCUCUGGUCUCAAUUCUUAGAUUUUUGGUUCAAAUUAGCCAGCUGACAACAGUACACAUCAGAAUUAAUGGUCUGGUUUUGUGGGAGAAGCUCAUAAUAAAUAAAGCCUUUAUGAUCCCACUAAACACAAAGCAUAGCUUUUUUGGCAUGGAUAUUCAUCUUUGCUUGCUGUUUUGAGGGAUCCUUACUCAAACUCCAGGAUCUUUUUCGCAUUACGCUUUUGUACACAAUCCAUUUUCCAUCUCCACUCACAAAUUUUUUUUUAAAAAGGACAA